This 777-nucleotide long non-coding RNA is filed under the name Physeter macrocephalus (sperm whale). RNAcentral describes it as "Physeter catodon (sperm whale) lncRNA (ENSPCTG00005011989.1)". The record is from RNAcentral. Lineage: Eukaryota; Metazoa; Chordata; Mammalia; Artiodactyla; Physeteridae.
GUUUCCGUGAGGGUUGCCUAGCGUGGGGCGGGACUUCCGGCGUCCUCCUCCGGGCGGUCAUUUUGGCUGCUCGGGUGUGUUCAUACGGACAGAAGUUCUGGAGCGAUUAGUGGGGCCGACGGGACAGGACCGAGAAAGCGACGGGGCACUUGUUGUUCCCGUUGAACAAAGGCGACUCUGAGGCUCGGCCGCGGCGCCGCCCGAGAUGAUCCGCACCAGGGCCGGUUUAAGAACCGCCGGCCCGCUCCUGGCCCCGCUCCGCCCACAGGCCUGGAUGGCUGCGGCUGCUCGGAGGGACCCGCCUCAGAUACAAGCAGUAAGUCCAAUACAUUCUCAGCAAUAGACUUUCUUCUGGACCUUCCUAUGAAGCCAGAGCCACAUGCACCAUCCUGAUCCUGUGUUUUAUUCACUGCUGUGAGAACUACAUUGCCCAGAGGACCCUGAGCCAGCAAAUUCACGUCAGCGUGGAGCCAAUGAAGGUCCAGGACAGGGGCAUUUCCAUGCGUGCCAUCGUGUCAGGGCGGGACUUCCGGCAUUCUCCUAGUGGCAGUCUUUUUCCUACUCAGAGGUUCCACAGCUCUGGGUCUGGUCCGAGGUGACCAAACUAAAGAGGAGACACGACCAAGAGGAAUUGUUGUCCUUGCUGCACAGAGUCGGAUCUGAAGCACUGGGCUCCACCCACAGACUCCAAUGGCGGCGGCGGUGCUGAGGGACCCGCCUCAGGUAAACGCUCGUCCUCCAGGCCCUCACCACCCUCACUCCUCCAGACGCUAAAGC